RNAcentral lists this ribosomal RNA (473 nucleotides) under Escherichia coli. RNAcentral's name for it is "bacterial SSU rRNA". It matches the Rfam family "Bacterial small subunit ribosomal RNA", at positions 1 to 470 of the family's 1533-position model. Lineage: Bacteria; Pseudomonadati; Pseudomonadota; Gammaproteobacteria; Enterobacterales; Enterobacteriaceae. RNAcentral also lists the same sequence under 1 other name. The record is from RNAcentral.
AAAUUGAAGAGUUUGAUCAUGGCUCAGAUUGAACGCUGGCGGUAGGCCUAACACAUGCAAGUCGAACGGUAACAGGAAGAAGCUUGCUUCUUUGCUGACGAGUGGCGGACGGGUGAGUAAUGUCUGGGAAACUGCCUGAUGGAGGGGGAUAACUACUGGAAACGGUAGCUAAUACCGCAUAACGUCGCAAGACCAAAGAGGGGGACCUUCGGGCCUCUUGCCAUCGGAUGUGCCCAGAUGGGAUUAGCUAGUAGGUGGGGUAACGGCUCACCUAGGCGACGAUCCCUAGCUGGUCUGAGAGGAUGACCAGCCACACUGGAACUGAGACACGGUCCAGACUCCUACGGGAGGCAGCAGUGGGGAAUAUUGCACAAUGGGCGCAAGCCUGAUGCAGCCAUGCCGCGUGUAUGAAGAAGGCCUUCGGGUUGUAAAGUACUUUCAGCGGGGAGGAAGGGAGUAAAGUUAAUACCUUU